AGAGUUUGAUCAUGGCUCAGAGCGAACGCUGGCGGCGUGCCUAACACAUGCAAGUCGAGCGAGAAAGGGAGCUUCGGCUCCUGAGUAGAGCGGCGAACGGGUGCGUAACACGUGGGUAAUCUGUCCUUAAGAUGGGAAUAACUCAGCGAAAGCUGGGCUAAUACCCAAUGAGACCACAGAAAGCAAUUUCAGGGGUCAAAGAGCGCUUCUUCUAGGAGCAUUCGUUUGAGGAGGAGCCCGCGACCUAUCAGCUUGUUGGUAGGGUAACGGCCUACCAAGGCAAAGACGGGUAGCUGGUCUGAGAGGAUGACCAGCCACACGGGGACUGAGACACGGCCCCGACUCCUACGGGAGGCAGCAGUGGGGAAUAUUGGGCAAUGGGGGAAACCCUGACCCAGCGACGCCGCGUGGGUGAUGAAGGCCUUCGGGUUGUAAAGCCUUGUCAGGAGGAACGAACGUUUCUGGGGUAAAUAGCCCUAGAAAGUGACGGUACCUCUGAAGGAAGCACCGGCCAACUCCGUGCCAGCAGCCGCGGUAAGACGGAGGGUGCAAGCGUUGCUCGGAAUCAUUGGGCGUAAAGGGUGCGUAGGCGGCUUUUUAAGUCUGACGUGAAAGCCCAAGGCUCAGCCUUGGAAGUGCGCCAGAAACUGAAAGGCUAGAGUGCCGGAGGGGAGAGUGGAAUUCCUGGUGUAGCGGUGAAAUGCGUAGAUAUCAGGAGGAAUACCGGUGGCGAAAGCGACUCUCUGGACGGUAACUGACGCUGAGGCACGAAAGCGUGGGGAGCAAACAGGAUUAGAUACCCUAGUAGUCC
This 811-nucleotide ribosomal RNA is filed under the name uncultured bacterium. RNAcentral's name for it is "bacterial SSU rRNA". It matches the Rfam family "Bacterial small subunit ribosomal RNA", at positions 8 to 796 of the family's 1533-position model. The record is from RNAcentral.